Molecule: ribosomal RNA, 494 nt
Filed under: uncultured bacterium
Lineage: Bacteria
Description: partial 16S ribosomal RNA
Rfam family: Bacterial small subunit ribosomal RNA
Source: RNAcentral
GACGAACGCUGGCGGCGUGCUUAACACAUGCAAGUCGAACGGAAAGGCCUGCUUUCCCUUGUGGAUUGCGGGUACUCGAGUGGCGAACGGGUGAGUAACACGUGAGUGAUCUGCCCCCAACUUGGGUAUAAGCCUGGGAAACUGGGUCUAAUUCCCGAUAGGACUGCAGGGUGGUGCCUGUGGUGGAAAACGUUUUUCUAGUUGUUGGGGAUGAGCUCGCGGCCUAUCAGCUUGUUGGUGGGGUAAUGGCCUACCAAGACGGCGACGGGUAGCCGGACUGGGAGGGGCGACAGCGACAUUGGGACUGGGUUACGGCCCAGACUGCUACGAGAGGCAGCAGUGGGGAAUAUUGGACAAUGGGCGGGAGCCUGAUGCAGCGCCGCCGCGUGGAAGAUGACGGCCUUCGGGUUGUAUGCUCCUUGCGAACAAGAGGAAGCCACCUGGUUGGAAGGGUGGUGACGGUAGUGGUAGAAGAAGCACCGGCUAACUACGUG